Lutzomyia longipalpis is the source of this 387-nucleotide long non-coding RNA. RefSeq lists it as uncharacterized. NCBI's taxonomy places the organism in Eukaryota, Metazoa, Arthropoda, Insecta, Diptera, Psychodidae. The transcript is spliced from 2 exons. The record is from RefSeq and is a predicted model, not a curated record.
AAAACAGAUGUCGCUGUUAACGUUGAAAAACGAAGUGAAACUGAAAAUGCCGAAAAUAGACGAAGUGAAAAAAGUUAAUGUAAACAAAUAAAAUGAGGUUAAAGUUAAGUGAAUUUAUCAACAAAACACAAUGGAUUAUUCGGGAUUUUUGAUUGUGAUGGGCAAAAUUGAAUCAUCCGGAACUUUUGGACAUUCUGUAGCAUCCACAAAUUCCGGGAAGAGAUACCCGGACAAGUCCCAGGCAGCAUGAAAUGUUUAUUUAAUAAGCAGAAUCCCAUCCUGGGAUGCUGGAAGCAUUUGUGAAAGAACAGAGCUUUACAGAAUGGCCAUAAAGGCAUGAAGUCGGGAAUCUAAUAUUCUUAAAUAAAAAGGCUUUUCGUACUCUAA